Zea mays is the source of this 416-nucleotide RNA transcript. It is a transcript of the gene named Replication protein A pseudogene, with no coding region annotated. The transcript is spliced from 4 exons. Lineage: Eukaryota; Viridiplantae; Streptophyta; Magnoliopsida; Poales; Poaceae. The record is from RefSeq and is marked validated.
AUCUGGAUAGCGCUGCACGCCACUGCUUCUCUUUCCCCGCGAGUGUCCGCUCCGUACACCGGCGACUACGAUCCUGUUUCUGGUGAAAGGGAGUGUCGCAUUCCCCAUCAGCACUAUUACUGACGGCCGUCGCGUGGUGUUCCCGACGUGUGCUACCAUCUCCAGUACACCCAAUCCUCAACGUGUCGACGAUCCACGCAGGUGAUUUGGAUAGCGUGCAUAUUUUGUCACCAACAGGACCAAUACAUCUGGGACUAAUACAUCUGCUAUUAUCGAUGGACUACACACUUCUACCAGAUUUAACAACGUAUAAAAAACAUGCGAUAAUCCAGGUCCAUGUCUCAAGAAAAUGGUCUUUCCAUGGCGCCACUGAAAAUGGUCCCUUGCAGCACAUCGACAUGGUCCUAUCAGAUUGC